GUGGGAGCCUCUUAAUGGGGUGACUGCGUACCUUUUGUAUAAUGGGUCAGCGACUUAUAUUCUGUAGCAAGGUUAACCGAAUAGGGGAGCCGAAGGGAAACCGAGUCUUAACUGGGCGUUAAGUUGCAGGGUAUAGACCCGAAACCCGGUGAUCUAGCCAUGGGCAGGUUGAAGGUUGGGUAACACUAACUGGAGGACCGAACCGACUAAUGUUGAAAAAUUAGCGGAUGACUUGUGGCUGGGGGUGAAAGGCCAAUCAAACCGGGAGAUAGCUGGUUCUCCCCGAAAGCUAUUUAGGUAGCGCCUCGUGAAUUCAUCUCCGGGGGUAGAGCACUGUUUCGGCAAGGGGGUCAUCCCGACUUACCAACCCGAUGCAAACUGCGAAUACCGGAGAAUGUUAUCACGGGAGACACACGGCGGGUGCUAACGUCCGUCGUGAAGAGGGAAACAACCCAGACCGCCAGCUAAGGUCCCAAAGUCAUGGUUAAGUGGGAAACGAUGUGGGAAGGCCCAGACAGCCAGGAUGUUGGCUUAGAAGCAGCCAUCAUUUAAAGAAAGCGUAAUAGCUCACUGGUCGAGUCGGCCUGCGCGGAAGAUGUAACGGGGCUAAACCAUGCACCGAAGCUGCGGCAGCGACACUAUGUGUUGUUGGGUAGGGGAGCGUUCUGUAAGCCUGUGAAGGUGGCCUGUGAGGGUUGCUGGAGGUAUCAGAAGUGCGAAUGCUGACAUAAGUAACGAUAAAGCGGGUGAAAAGCCCGCUCGCCGGAAGACCAAGGGUUCCUGUCCAACGUUAAUCGGGGCAGGGUGAGUCGACCCCUAAGGCGAGGCCGAAAGGCGUAGUCGAUGGGAAACAGGUUAAUAUUCCUGUACUUGGUGUUACUGCGAAGGGGGGACGGAGAAGGCUAUGUUGGCCGGGCGACGGUUGUCCCGGUUUAAGCGUGUAGGCUGGUUUUCCAGGCAAAUCCGGAAAACCAAGGCUGAGGCGUGAUGA
RNAcentral lists this ribosomal RNA (991 nucleotides) under Escherichia coli. RNAcentral describes it as "partial 23S ribosomal RNA". It matches the Rfam family "Bacterial large subunit ribosomal RNA", at positions 573 to 1569 of the family's 2925-position model. Lineage: Bacteria; Pseudomonadati; Pseudomonadota; Gammaproteobacteria; Enterobacterales; Enterobacteriaceae. The record is from RNAcentral.